Molecule: non-coding RNA, 21 nt
Filed under: Caenorhabditis elegans
Lineage: Eukaryota; Metazoa; Nematoda; Chromadorea; Rhabditida; Rhabditidae
Source: RNAcentral
UUCCUGCAAAACCGGACGAUC